This 252-nucleotide ribosomal RNA is filed under the name uncultured bacterium. Its description in RNAcentral is "partial 16S ribosomal RNA". It matches the Rfam family "Bacterial small subunit ribosomal RNA", at positions 524 to 776 of the family's 1533-position model. The record is from RNAcentral.
UACGGGGGGGCAAGCGUUGUUCGGAAUUACUGGGCGUAAAGGGCUCGUAGGCGGCCAACUAAGUCAGACGUGAAAUCCCUCGGCUUAACCGGGGAACUGCGUCUGAUACUGGAUGGCUUGAGAUUGGGAGAGGGAUGCGGAAUUCCAGGUGUAGCGGUGAAAUGCGUAGAUAUCAGGAGGAACACCUGCGGUGUAGACGGCUUACUGGACCAUAACUGACGCUGAGGCACGAAAGCGUGGGUAGCAAACAGG